This 54-nucleotide non-coding RNA is filed under the name Vibrio genomosp. F10. Its description in RNAcentral is "Vibrio sp. F10 Vibrio regulatory RNA of OmpA". It matches the Rfam family "Vibrio regulatory RNA of OmpA", at positions 87 to 140 of the family's 140-position model. Lineage: Bacteria; Pseudomonadati; Pseudomonadota; Gammaproteobacteria; Vibrionales; Vibrionaceae. The record is from Rfam by way of RNAcentral.
AUUAACUCCUAUGUUUGUAUCUGCCCAGAACCUGAUUGUUCUGGGCUUUUUUUA